This 440-nucleotide ribosomal RNA is filed under the name uncultured bacterium. RNAcentral's name for it is "partial 16S ribosomal RNA". It matches the Rfam family "Bacterial small subunit ribosomal RNA", at positions 338 to 795 of the family's 1533-position model. The record is from RNAcentral.
CCUACGGGAGGCAGCAGUGGGGAAUAUUGCACAAUGGGGGAAACCCUGAUGCAGCGACGCCGCGUGAGUGAAGAAGUCUUUCUGUAUGUAAAGCUCUAUCAGCAGGGAAGAAAAUGACGGUACCUGAUUAAGCCUCCCCGGCUCACUCCGGGCCAGCAGCCGCGGUCAUACGUAGGGGGCAAGCGUUAUCCGGAUUUACUGGGUGUAAAGGGAGCGUAGACGGCAGCGCAAGUCUGAAGUGAAAUGCCGGGGCUUAACCCCGGAACUGCUUUGGAAACUGUGCAGCUAGAGUGCAGGAGAGGUAAGUGGAAUUCAUAGUGUAGCGGUGAAAUGCGUAGAGAUUAGGAGGAACACCAGUGGCGAAGGUGGCUUACUGGACUGUAACUGACGUUGAGGCUCGAAAGCGUGGGGAGCAAACAGGAUUAGAUACCCUUGUAGUC